Molecule: ribosomal RNA, 459 nt
Filed under: uncultured bacterium
Lineage: Bacteria
Description: partial 16S ribosomal RNA
Rfam family: Bacterial small subunit ribosomal RNA
Source: RNAcentral
CCUACGGGUGGCAGCAGUGAGGAAUAUUGGUCAAUGGGCGCGAGCCUGAACCAGCCAAGUCGCGUGGGGGAAGACGGUCCUAUGGAUUGUAAACCUCUUUUGUCGGGGAGCAAAAGGCGCCACGCGUGUCGUUCCGAGUGUACCCGAAGAAAAAGCAUCGGCUAACUCCGUUCCAGCAGCCGCGGUAAUGCGGAGGAUGCGAGCGUUAUCCGGAUGUAUUGGGGUUAAAGGGUGCGUAGGGGGAAGCUCAAGUCAGCGGUAAAAUUGAGAGGGUCAACCUCUUCGAGAAGUUGAAACUGGUUGUCUUGAGUGAGCGCGAGGUAUGCGGAAGGCGUGGUGUAGCGGUGAAAUGCAUAGAUAUCACGCAGAACUCCGAUGGCGAAGGCAGCAUACCGGCGCGCAACUGACGCUCAUGCACGAAAGUGUGGGUAUCGAACAGGAUUAGAUACCCCAGUAGUC